UGAGGGAGGAAGGCUCUUGGGUCGUAAACCUCUUUUAUCAGGGAAGAACACAAUGACGUACCUGAUGAAUCAGCAUCGGCUAACUCCGUGCCAGCAGCCGCGGUAAUACGGAGGAUGCAAGCGUUAUCCGGAAUUAUUGGGCGUAAAGCGUCCGCAGGUGGUUUUGAAAGUUUGCUGUUAAAUCGCGAGGCUCAACUUCGUAACGGCGGUGAAAACUUCAAGACUAGAGUUUGGUAGGGGUCACGGGAAUUCCCAGUGUAGCGGUGAAAUGCGUAGAUAUUGGGAAGAACACCAGCGGCGAAAGCGCGUGACUGGGCCUGAACUGACACUCAUGGACGAAAGCUAGGGGAGCGAAAGGGAUUAGAUACCCCUGUAGUCCUAGCCGUAAACGAUGACAACUAGGUGUUGCCCGUAUCGACCCGGGCAGUGCCGUAGCCAACGCGUUAAGUUGUCCGCCUGGGGAGUACGCACGCAAGUGUGAAACUCAAAGGAAUUGACGGGGGCCCGCACAAGCGGUGGAGUAUGUGGUUUAAUUCGAUGCAACGCGAAGAACCUUACCAAGGCUUGACAUGUGCAGAAUCCUCUUGAAAGGGAGGAGUGCCUUCGGGAGCUGCAACACAGGUGGUGCAUGGCUGUCGUCAGCUCGUGUCGUGAGAUGUUGGGUUAAGUCCCGCAACGAGCGCAACCCUCGUUUCUAGUUGCCAUCAUUAAGUUGGGCACUUUAGAGAGACUGCCGGUGACAAACCGGAGGAAGGUGGGGAUGACGUCAAGUCAGCAUGCCCCUUACGCCUUGGGCUACACACGUACUACAAUGCUACGGACAAAGAGCCGCAAGUUCGCGAGGACAAGCAAAUCUCAUAAACCGUGGCUCAGUUCAGAUUGCAGGCUGCAACUCGCCUGCAUGAAGGCGGAAUCGCUAGUAAUCGCAGGUCAGCAUACUGCGGUGAAUACGUUCCCGGGCCUUGUACACACCGCCCGUCACACCAUGGGAGUUGGCCACGCCCGAAGUCGUUACUCCAACCGUUCGCGGAGGAGGAUGCCGAAGGCAGGGCUGAUGACUGGGGUGAAGUCGUAACAAGGUAGCCGUACCGGAAGGUGUGGCUGGAUCACCUC
RNAcentral lists this ribosomal RNA (1113 nucleotides) under Phormidesmis nigrescens. RNAcentral's name for it is "16S ribosomal RNA". It matches the Rfam family "Bacterial small subunit ribosomal RNA", at positions 402 to 1529 of the family's 1533-position model. Lineage: Bacteria; Bacillati; Cyanobacteriota; Cyanophyceae; Leptolyngbyales; Leptolyngbyaceae. The record is from RNAcentral.